This 468-nucleotide ribosomal RNA is filed under the name uncultured bacterium. RNAcentral describes it as "partial 16S ribosomal RNA". It matches the Rfam family "Bacterial small subunit ribosomal RNA", at positions 28 to 507 of the family's 1533-position model. The record is from RNAcentral.
GACGAACGCUGGCGGCGUGCUUAACACAUGCAAGUCGAACGGAAAGGCCCUGCUUUUGUGGGGUGCUCGAGUGGCGAACGGGUGAGUAACACGUGAGUAACCUGCCCUUGACUUUGGGAUAACUUCAGGAAACUGGGGCUAAUACCGGAUAGGAGCUCCUGCUGCAUGGUGGGGGUUGGAAAGUUUCGGCGGUUGGGGAUGGACUCGCGGCUUAUCAGCUUGUUGGUGGGGUAGUGGCUUACCAAGGCUUUGACGGGUAGCCGGCCUGAGAGGGUGACCGGCCACAUUGGGACUGAGAUACGGCUCAGCCUCCUACGGGAGGCAGCAGUGGGGAAUAUUGCACAAUGGGCGGAAGCCUGAUGCAGCAACGCCGCGUGCGGGAUGACGGCCUUCGGGUUGUAAACCGCUUUCGCCUGUGACGAAGCGUGAGUGACGGUAAUGGGUAAAGAAGCACCGGCUAACUACGUG